AGACCCGAAACCCGGUGAUCUAGCCAUGGGCAGGUUGAAGGUUGGGUAACACUAACUGGAGGACCGAACCGACUAAUGUUGAAAAAUUAGCGGAUGACCUGUGGCUGGGGGUGAAAGGCCAAUCAAACCGGGAGAUAGCUGGUUCUCCCCGAAAGCUAUUUAGGUAGCGCCUCGUGAAUUCAUCUCCGGGGGUAGAGCACUGUUUCGGCCAGGGGGCCAUCCCGGCUUACCAAUCCGAUGCAAACUGCGAAUACCGGAGAAUGUUAUCACGGGAGACACACGGCGGGUGCUAACGUCCGUCGUGAAGAGGGAAACAACCCAGACCGCCAGCUAAGGUCCCAAAGUCAUGGUUAAGUGGGAAACGAUGUGGGAAGGCCCAGACAGCCAGGAUGUUGGCUUAGAAGCAGCCAUCAUUUAAAGAAAGCGUAAUAGCUCACUGGUCGAGUCGGCCUGCGCGGAAGAUGUAACGGGGCUAAACCAUGCACCGAAGCUGCGGCAGCGACACUGAUGUGUUGUUGGGUAGGGGAGCGUUCUGUAAGCCGUUGAAGGUGGCCUGUGAGGGUUGCUGGAGGUAUCAGAAGUGCGAAUGCUGACAUAAGUAACGAUAAAGCGGGUGAAAAGCCCGCUCGCCGGAAGACCAAGGGUUCCUGUCCAACGUUAAUCGGGGCAGGGUGAGUCGACCCCUAAGGCGAGGCCGAAAGGCGUAGUCGAUGGGAAACGGGUUAAUAUUCCCGUACUUGGUGUUACUGCGAAGGGGGGACGGAGAAGGCUAUGUUGGCCGGGCGACGGUUGUCCCGGUUUAAGCGUGUAGGUGUGUGUUCCAGGUAAAUCCGGUUCACUUUAACACUGAGGCGUGACGACGAGGCACCACGGUGCUGAAGCAACAAAUGCCCUGCUUCCAGGAAAAGCCUCUAAGCCUCAGGUAACAUCAAAUCGUACCCCAAACCGACACAGGUGGUCAGGUAGAGAAUACCAAGGCGCUUGAGAGAACUCGGGUGAAGGAACUAGGCAAAAUGGUGCCGUAACUUCGGGAGAAGGCACGCUGACACGUAGGUGAAGUGGUUUACCCAUGGAGCUGAAGUCAGUCGAAGAUACCAGCUGGCUGCAACUGUUUAUUAAAAACACAGCACUGUGCAAACACGAAAGUGGACGUAUACGGUGUGACGCCUGCCCGGUGCCGGAAGGUUAAUUGAUGGGGUCAGCGCAAGCGAAGCUCCUGAUCGAAGCCCCGGUAAACGGCGGCCGUAACUAUAACGGUCCUAAGGUAGCGAAAUUCCUUGUCGGGUAAGUUCCGACCUGCACGAAUGGCGUAAUGAUGGCCAGGCUGUCUCCACCCGGGACUCAGUGAAAUUGAACUCGCUGUGAAGAUGCAGUGUACCCGCGGCAAGACGGAAAGACCCCGUGAACCUUUACUAUAGCUUGACACUGAACACUGGUCCUUGAUGUGCAGGAUAGGUGGGAGGCUUUGAAGUGUGGACGCCAGUCUGCAUGGAGCCAUCCUUGAAAUACCACCCUUUAAUGGCUGGUGUUCUAACGUGGGCCCGUGAACCGGGUUGCGGACAGUGUCUGGUGGGUAGUUUGACUGGGGCGGUCUCCUCCUAAAGAGUAACGGAGGAGCACGAAGGUUGGCUAAUCCUGGUCGGACAUCAGGAGGUUAGUGCAAUGGCAUAAGCCAGCUUGACUGCGAGCGUGACGGCGCGAGCAGGUGCGAAAGCAGGUCAUAGUGAUCCGGUGGUUCUGAAUGGAAGGGCCAUCGCUCAACGGAUAAAAGGUACUCCGGGGAUAACAGGCUGAUACCGCCCAAGAGUUCAUAUCGACGGCGGUGUUUGGCACCUCGAUGUCGGCUCAUCACAUCCUGGGGCUGAAGUAGGUCCCAAGGGUAUGGCUGUUCGCCAUUUAAAGUGGUACGCGAGCUGGGUUUAGAACGUCGUGAGACAGUUCGGUCCCUAUCUGCCGUGGGCGCUGGAAGAUUGAGGGGGGCUGCUCCUAGUACGAGAGGACCGGAGUGGACGCAUCACUGGUGUUCGGGUUGUCAUGCCAAUGGCACUGCCCGGUAGCUACAUGCGGAAGAGAUAAGUGCUGAAAGCAUCUAAGCACGAAACUUGCCCCGAGAUGAAUCUUCCCUGAGCCUUUAAGGCUCCUGAAGGAACGUUGAAGACGACGACGUUGAUAGGCCGGGUGUGUAAGCGCAGCGAUGCGUUGAGCUAACCGGUACUAAUGAACCGUGAGGCUUAACCUU
RNAcentral lists this ribosomal RNA (2239 nucleotides) under Salmonella enterica. RNAcentral describes it as "partial 23S ribosomal RNA". It matches the Rfam family "Bacterial large subunit ribosomal RNA", at positions 711 to 2925 of the family's 2925-position model. The record is from RNAcentral. Lineage: Bacteria; Pseudomonadati; Pseudomonadota; Gammaproteobacteria; Enterobacterales; Enterobacteriaceae. RNAcentral also lists the same sequence under 1 other name.